AACGAACGCUGGCGGCAUGCCUAACACAUGCAAGUCGAACGAGACCUUCGGGUCUAGUGGCGCACGGGUGCGUAACGCGUGGGAACCUGCCCUUAGGUUCGGAAUAACUCCCCGAAAGGGGUGCUAAUACCGGAUAAUGUCUUCGGACCAAAGAUUUAUCGCCUUUGGAUGGGCCCGCGUUGGAUUAGCUAGUUGGUAGGGUAAAAGCCUACCAAGGCGACGACCCAUAGCUGGUCUGAGAGGAUGAUCAGCCACACUGGGACUGAGACACGGCCCAGACUCCUACGGGAGGCAGCAGUGGGGAAUAUUGGACAAUGGGCGAAAGCCUGAUCCAGCAAUGCCGCGUGAGUGAUGAAGGCCGUAGGGUUGUAAAGCUCUUUUACCCGGGAUGAUAAUGACAGUACCGGGAGAAUAAGCACCGGCUAACUCCGUG
Molecule: ribosomal RNA, 433 nt
Filed under: uncultured bacterium
Lineage: Bacteria
Description: partial 16S ribosomal RNA
Rfam family: Bacterial small subunit ribosomal RNA
Source: RNAcentral